GAUUUUUAUUUUAUAUAAAUUUUUGUUCUCAACCUAGCUAAGGAGACAUGCGUUGCCAGUAAAUAAUGACACAAACUGGCAAUAAAAGUCAAGGAGAUUAUUGCAUAGUAAGGGGGAGCGGCAGGCAGAGGGAGAAGCAGGCUCCCCGCUGAGCAAGGAGUCUGAUGUGGGGCUUGAUCCCAGGACCCUGGGAUCAUAACCAGAGCUGAAGGCAGACACUUAACUGAUUGAGCCACCCAGUGACCAGGGGAGGGAAUUUUUGAAAUUGAAAACUGUAUUAAACAUAUGGACGAGUAUAUAAAACAUGUGUGUAGUCAGAGAAAAAUACCAGUGUAUUUACCAUUCAGUUAAGAAGUAGAACAUUUAUCAGUACUUUUGAAUUCGUCAAGUACCCCUCCUCAUUGCACUCCUCUCAGAUUAUCAACCAGCCCAGUCUCUAUAUUAAUCAAUCCCUUUCUUCCAGGGUAGAUGUCCCUAAAGCAAGCACAAACCCAGGUGUAUAAGGAAAGGACAGUGUUGCCACCAUUCUCAAGAGGACAGCUUAAUGGUCCUAGUUUGAAUUCUUAAUCCCCUGGAUUGGAACAAAAAGCUCUGGGUCAAGCCUGGAUUAGGAGUUGAGAGGUUACAGGGACUUUUGGUACAGUCAGCUGGGGAAGGUUGUGAGAGAAUUUGUGGGACAUGGGAUGUUGGGAGGACUGCAGUGGGUCCAGCCGUUGGGAGCCUGGAAGUAGUACUACAGUCACAGGGAGUGACCUGUUGCACAUUUUAUUUUCACUUCUAAGCUCACCGUGGCUUACGUCCAGCUGUCAGAGGCAGGCCACAACAGGAGACUUCAAUGCGGUGAAAUGGUCUACUGAUUCAGACAUCAGGACGAAGAGGGAAGAACAGGAACUUUAUCAGUGCAUGAUUAAGAAAAGCCAAAUUUAGUUAGGAAUUUGGCAUCCUGUCCCUUGAUGCGGUCUGUGAGGAUCUUGAUGAUGAUAGCCCUGAACAUAUCCGUCACUUGUGUCUCACUGCCCAACUGUGGACCGAUCGUCCUCAAAGACUGGCUACAGCUCUCAUCUUGAGAUCUCUGUUCUGUCCUCCUAGGAAUUCCCUUUGCGUCCUCUGUGUUUAAUCUUUAUUUCUUGUUUUGGAGCUUCUCCUCUAUUUGCUCUUCAAGGAUGCAUAGCAGGCUAAUUCAAAGAUGGUUAUGAGGGUGCUGGGGAAAGAGUGAAUAGAAUCGACCCCACAGCUUCCUGCCUGCCAUGUGCAGGUCCUCGGCUGCCCGUCAGUGCUGUAUUGCAGAGUGGAAAAAAGAAAAUCAAUAGAAAGAAAGAAAUGAUCUUUGCCUAUAUGUAGAUUACUCAAAAUGAAGCAACAAGGAAAUUGUGAUAUCAGGAACAGUAAAAAAAACAAAACAAACUUCUUAGAAAUAUAAAAUACUCAAAACAUAAACCCAGAGAUAGAGACAGCCAGCGAGAGAGGGAACACAAGCAGGGGGAGUGGGAGAGGA
Ailuropoda melanoleuca (giant panda) is the source of this 1495-nucleotide long non-coding RNA. RefSeq lists it as uncharacterized. The transcript has 4 exons. The record is from RefSeq and is a predicted model, not a curated record. NCBI's taxonomy places the organism in Eukaryota, Metazoa, Chordata, Mammalia, Carnivora, Ursidae.